This 1328-nucleotide long non-coding RNA is filed under the name Bos indicus x Bos taurus (hybrid cattle). RNAcentral describes it as "lncRNA (ENSBIXG00000004798.1)". The stretch from base 81 to 152 matches the Rfam family "tRNA". The record is from RNAcentral. Lineage: Eukaryota; Metazoa; Chordata; Mammalia; Artiodactyla; Bovidae.
CUGGCACACAAAUGCCUGAAAAUGUUAGUCGUUGAUAUAGAAAAAACAACAAUAACAAUACUAGCUUCCUUUUUAGGGCUUCCCUGGUAGCUCAGUCUGUAAAGAAUCUGUCUGCAGUGCAGGAGACCUGGGUUUGAUCCCUGGUCAGGAAGAUACCGUGGAGAAGGAAAUGGCAAACCACUCCAACUUCCCUAGUGGCUCAGAUGGUAAAGAAUCUACCUGCAAUUCAGGAGACCUGGGUUCAUUUCCUGGGUUGGGAAGAUCCCCUGGAGGAGGGCAUGGCAACCAACUCCAGUAUUCUUGCCUGGAGAAUCCCAUGGACAGAGGAGCCUGGUGGGCUACAGUUCAUGGGAUUGCAAGAGUCAGAUAUGACUUAGCAACUAAACCACCACCACCUCACCACAGCUUCCUUUUUACUUGUCAUGUUUUUAGUCAGAGAUAAUCAGCCCAUGACCUGGGGGUCUUGAUAUGUGAUCUACACAAUGCUAACAUACAGAAGAGGCAGCCACGUUUGGAGGCCCUAUGAUGUCCUGGGUGCCUGUUCUGAGCAGCGUGUUCACGUGUGCUGUCUCAUCGUUCUUCUCAACUGCAGGGAGGCUUGGAGGUGAAGAGAUAUGCAGCCGUGUCACAUGGUGUCAUAAGUGGUGGAAUGAGAUGACCCCAAAGCCCUGCUCUGAUUACCAGAUUCCCUUUGCCCCAGCACCAAAGCAGAGGAGACCCAGAAGGAUAAGCCAGAGCAUUGGAGAGCUGGGUUCCCACCCCAACAGUAAGGGCUGUUGUGAGGAUUAAAUGACGCCGUGCAGAUGAAGCAAUGGCACCUACCAAGCACUGACAAGAGGGUCACCACUGGGCCCCCAGGGGGCUCUCUGGGGCAGACCUCCGCUCCAGGCCACUCGGACACCUUGUCGCCCAAGCCUGCAGGGCUCGCUGCAGCUCCCGGCCUUUGUCCAGCUGGGUUCCCUGGGUCGCAAGGGCCUGCACAGAGACCCGGCCGCACUCUUCCCACGGGAGGCCUUUCCAUCCUCACUGUCUCCGCCAGGCCCCCAGCCCUGCGUGUGUUUUCUCUCUGUAAUGCUCCCUGGUGCUCUAUGGUGGAAACCCAAGUCGGAGCCUGCAGGUUCCUGACCACCCAGCAGUGGGGGCUGGGCUCACCUUCGAUCCUGACUCUUGCCCCAGCACUUUCUGCUCAGGGCUGCCCACUUGGGCCUUCUGAUAAAGGUAUGUUUCCCAGUUGGUUAUUUUCAAGGGAAAAGUCUCAUGUUUGGGGCAGGGAGGGAUUGACAGGGGAGAGGGGUGAUGGACUUUUUUUCUUCCCAGGAAGAGAAUGA